AAUCCCUCUCUCUACAUUACUCUCUUCAUCUUCUCUCUUCAUCCAUUCCUUUGAACCACCCCCAACAAACCCAUCUCAAUCCCUCUGAACCGCCCUAAAAUUCUUUAACUUCGCUGCUGGCCGAAUCCGAGCUCUACAACUGGCGUGACUCCAAUGCAGAGGUAAAGAAUUUCUCUCCAUCAUCCGAAGACCAGAGUCAGAUGUGCGAACCCUCCUCCAAAUCCACAGAGCCAUAGAGACCAUCAAUUGAUCAUUAGUGGAAUAGAGAAAGAACGAUUCCCAAAAUCAAACUCCAUAGAGACCAUCAAUUGAUCAUUAGUGGAAUAGAGAAAGAACGAUUCCCAAAAUCAAACUGUUCAUAUUAGAGAGCUUGAGGAAGAAGUGAAACUUCUUAACAACCAUUCGCUUCUGAACAUUGUGGUAAGUAUCUGAUUU
This is a non-coding RNA of Camellia sinensis, 435 nucleotides long. Lineage: Eukaryota; Viridiplantae; Streptophyta; Magnoliopsida; Ericales; Theaceae. The record is from RefSeq and is a predicted model, not a curated record.